Molecule: ribosomal RNA, 301 nt
Filed under: uncultured bacterium
Lineage: Bacteria
Description: partial 16S ribosomal RNA
Rfam family: Bacterial small subunit ribosomal RNA
Source: RNAcentral
CAGCCGCCGCGGGAAUACAGAGGGUGCGAGCGUUAAUCGGAUUUACUGGGCGUAAAGCGUGCGUAGGCGGCUUUUUAAGUCGGAUGUGAAAUCCCUGAGCUUAACUUAGGAAUUGCAUUCGAUACUGGGAAGCUAGAGUAUGGGAGAGGAUGGUAGAAUUCCAGGUGUAGCUGUGAAAUGCGUAGAGAUCUGGAGGAAUACCGAUGGCGAAGGCAGCCAUCUGGCCUAAUACUGACGCUGAGGUACGAAAGCAUGGGGAGCAAACAGGAUUAGAUACCCCCGUAGUCCCUGUCUCUUAUAC